Molecule: long non-coding RNA, 1615 nt
Organism: Castor canadensis (American beaver)
Lineage: Eukaryota; Metazoa; Chordata; Mammalia; Rodentia; Castoridae
Source: Ensembl
GUGGGGGGUGGGGGGGAGAAGAGCGACGAGCGACGCGCACCCAGAGUUCGGCAGCGCGAUCGCGACAGUCCCGUGGGCCGGAGAGGCGAGCCCUACCCCGAUGUAACCUCCCUACCCAGCCCCGGCCCCUGCACGAGGGCGGCGAAACUUCUCUGCGGGUUCUGGCGCUGGGGCAGCGGCCCCGCAACAACUGCCUCGGCUGCGGGUAGGGGAGGAGAGCAGAGAGCGUCCCAGGCAAGUCCCUUGGGCACGGAUUAGGGCGUGGAGACUCCUCUUUCCUUUUUCCCCACUGCCUUAUUACUUGGCGGGCCUAGAAUGCUCCCCUGGGGAGACCCCCCCCUCCCUCCUUUCCUCUGGGUCCGGCCACGGGCUUCUGGAAUUCCUGGUAAGGGGGGGUGACUUGGUGGGAAAGUGCCCUAAAGUGCAGGCUGGGUGCCAGGUUAGGUCAUUCCCUGGAGGGGAGCUGUCUUUCUCUUUCUCACCAACUUCUUCCUCACCUUACAUAGUUCCCUUUUCUGCUCCAGCUCUGCAGACUAUUUCAUCAAAAUUAAAAGAGAGAAAAGAGAAAAGAAAGGCAAAGGGAGGGGGAAAGGAGCCCAGGCCGUACAGGAAGGAGAAGUGUCCUAGCAUGUCCAGGGCAGGAGGGCUGGGCCCGGAGCACCCUUGCGCAUCUCCUGUCCUCGGCCGGCCCUGCCCCCAAGCCUUGUGCAGUAAACGUUUCCUUCCUUCAAGAUGAGCAGACGUUCCGCUUCUAAUUGCCCCGUCGGUGUCCCCUUUCUUUAGGACUCCAAAGGACUUUUCAGAGCAGCAUAAACGGGGUGGAGGGUUGUACCAGGACCCAGCUAUGGCUUCAGGGAGCACCUCAUUUUUGCACUUGGGGAUGACGUCCCAAAAUUGUGCUAAUGUUCUUAAUAUUUCUGACAAAAUUGCCAUUUUCCUUCUUUCUUCGUUAUUUGGAGAUAAAGCUUCCAGCUAUGCAAAGCAAAAAGUUUUGAAAGAAUAGGCGUUUCUAUUUUCAUCCCAGUUGUAUUAUUUUUGAUAUGGCUUGGGUAAUAGGACAUGUAGCCCCUGUCUUCAGGCGCUGACAAUCCAGUGUACACAAAGUGGAGAUUUCCAAACAUCAUUGUGGUAGAUGUUAAGACUUCUCUGUUGUGUGCCACUUGAAGGCAGAUGGCCUUUGCCUUAGCAGAGGUCUAGCUUGUAGUUCAAACUGUGGCCAGCCCAGCACAGGGCAUCUACAAAGUGCUAAGUAAAUGUGUGUUGAAUGAAUGAAUGUCAGCGCAUGGAUUGUUUGCAGUUGUUGAAAUGGGAGAGAAAACAGCAUCUAUAAACUGGCUUAUGGAAGUUUUCUCUGGCUGUUGCUUUUAGACCUACCCAUUCUUUGGCUCUCUUUGUGAACCCUACUUUUUUUUAACAAAUUGUCUGUGACACUCCUGUGGCAUUUUAGCUAGUUGAUAAUGGGAGCCCUGCUCACUUCAUAGAUGGGUAAUUCCUGGGUAUUAAUUUGGAAAUUGCCUGCUCGUUGGUGGAGGGUUUUUACAAACCUUUCCUUUCCCCUUUCAUUUGUGCUUGCUUCUUCCCUCUUCUGUGUAAGGAAGUUGGGCCUGCAAAUCCC